GAACAAGUUCCAAACCAGGCCCAAAUAGUAUCCCAAACUCAGUCCCAAACACAUUCUCACCCCCGGCAGCAGGCUGCAGGCCUCCAGCUACACACACGGCCCUGGGCAACUCUCAGUCUGGCCACCCAUUCGAUGCUGCCAGCCCCAAGGGUGUGGGAGGGGGGUCUCAGAGUGUCCCAGGGUACUGGCCACACAUGCCCGACACCAGGGUCAUAAGGUCCUCUCAGCAGAGCCACUGCAGCACCAAAGGCAUUUCUGGAAGGAGGCAAGGACGCGUCAUCUAGAUGUCAAGCCCCAGCGUGCGAUUCUGUCACAGUUCACCCCACCUUCACCCCGAGACGGAAGACGGAAGAGCUUCGCACACAGGCGGGAAGAGGUCAGGACCAGUCCAGCCUCACUGGCUUCAGAACUGGCCUGGGGGCUACCUUGACCCACAGGAAGGGAAGAGGAACGUGCUCUGGGCAGGGCAAGGCAGGACCUGCAGCACCCACAGACCAGCAGUAAAGGACCCCCGGAACUUUCCAAGUCUAGCACAAAACCCAGAAGCCACAAAGGAAAAUACUGGCAGAUUUAAAUGCAUGAAGUCAACAUUCUUUUUGUAGAGCUAAAGAAACCAUAAGCAAAAUUAAAAGCCAAAUGCAUUCUGGGAGG
This 651-nucleotide long non-coding RNA is filed under the name Homo sapiens (human). Its description in RNAcentral is "non-protein coding lnc-TGIF2-1:4". The record is from RNAcentral. Lineage: Eukaryota; Metazoa; Chordata; Mammalia; Primates; Hominidae.